This 470-nucleotide long non-coding RNA is filed under the name Elaeis guineensis (African oil palm). Its description in RNAcentral is "long non-coding RNA (EGUI_LNC010760)". Lineage: Eukaryota; Viridiplantae; Streptophyta; Magnoliopsida; Arecales; Arecaceae. The record is from RNAcentral.
UCAUUAUACUCGAAAAACUAGCUCCACAAUUAAUUGGCAUACCAGCAUUCAACCUUGCCACCGAUCCAAGAUCGAAUAAAUUUGUUCUUCCAAAAGUUGUAGAAAAAAUCCUUAACAGCUUUUAUACACAAUUUUCAAUUAGUAAAGAUUUUUUAGGAUAGCAAUCCUCUAAUUGACAGCUCAAAUGAAGCUUCCAGUACAGAAUCUUCUUCGCUACAACUUUCGAAAGUAGUGAUCCAUACUCCUACAAAACGUUUAUAUUCGAAAAUCUUUUAGCAAACUACUCAAAAAACGUCUUCUCUUACAAUCAAGUAACAAAUUUUUUAACCAAUUAUCUAAAAGUAAUUUUUUUCAUGAUAAAUUUUUUUUCUAUAGAGAACCGGUAAAGCCAUCAUCUGAGAAAAAACUUCAUAUCGAAUAAUGUAAUAUCAUCUAACUAAUUUAUUUUUUCUAUAUUUCUCACUAUACCA